Molecule: ribosomal RNA, 531 nt
Filed under: Bipolaris sp. HD1
Lineage: Eukaryota; Fungi; Ascomycota; Dothideomycetes; Pleosporales; Pleosporaceae
Description: partial 18S ribosomal RNA
Rfam family: 5.8S ribosomal RNA (bases 176-329)
Source: RNAcentral
GAGGGAUCAUUACACAAUACAAUAUGAAGGCUGUCCGCAGCUGGAGUAUUUUAUUACCCUUGUCUUUUGCGCACUUGUUGUUUCCUGGGCGGGUUCGCUCGCCACCAGGACCACCAAAUAAACCUUUUUUAUGCAGUUGCAAUCAGCGUCAGUACAAACAAUGUAAAUCAUUUACAACUUUCAACAACGGAUCUCUUGGUUCUGGCAUCGAUGAAGAACGCAGCGAAAUGCGAUACGUAGUGUGAAUUGCAGAAUUCAGUGAAUCAUCGAAUCUUUGAACGCACAUUGCGCCCUUUGGUAUUCCAAAGGGCAUGCCUGUUCGAGCGUCAUUUGUACCCUCAAGCUUUGCUUGGUGUUGGGCGUUUUUGUCUUUGGUCGCCCAAAGACUCGCCUUAAAGUGAUUGGCAGCCGGCCUUUCUGGUUUCGCAGCGCAGCACAUUUUUGCGCUUGCCAUCAGCAAAACGGCAAUCCAUCAAGCCUCCUUCUCACGUUUGACCUCGGAUCAGGUAGGGAUACCCGCUGAACUUAAGC